Molecule: long non-coding RNA, 790 nt
Filed under: Anser cygnoides (Swan goose)
Lineage: Eukaryota; Metazoa; Chordata; Aves; Anseriformes; Anatidae
Description: lncRNA (ENSACDG00005001766.1)
Source: RNAcentral
GUAGAUUAUACUCUCAUUAUUGUUAGACUGUUUAACCCAACACUCUUAACCUUUCAUGUUAGGCUGACUGAAACUAAUGACUGGUCCCCAGCUGAGCUUAGCUGUGGUGUGAUGAAAGGGUGGGUAAAAUUGGUUACUCCUGUUUGUGCUCUGAAAUGAUGCAUCUCCUCAUUAGGAAAAGGUUUUGGGUGCUGUUCUUGUUUGGGUGUCUAGCUGCUAAGAAAACUGCCUCAAAUAUACAGUGGUUUGUAAACAUGGACUGGCAGAUGCAUUCAGUUAAAAUCUAAUUCCAGGCUUGUGGUUUACUGUUGAAAUGCUUUCUUCCAUCUAGCAGCACCACUGAGCUCUCAUCCAAAGCGAAGCUGAGCCAGCUGUCUGUCUUCCAGGUGAAGUUCGGUCUUCUGGUGAGUGGUGUAUCCAACUCUUGCAGGAAUGGUUGUAAAAAUUAGUUGCUCAGUUUUAAGUUCUUUUCUGUGAUUGAGGGCAUGAACUAUGCAAAUGUUCAUGGCAUUCAUCCAUGAUGAGCUCAGUAACACUAGCCAGAGGGACACAGGGGCUGUGUGAUGAGUUUAGAAAGAUAUGUGCCUGGGAACAGGCGAAAGCUGCUCAGGGUAUUUGUGUCCCAACAUCCUGGGUCCAUUACCUCCUGCGUUGUGUGAUUCCUCAGAUGCAGUUGCUCCUUAAGGUUUCAGAAAUGGAACAGAAACAACAAUAUCAUUCUGGUGUAUCGCUGCAAAGCUUACAGAUGCGUGUUGAACAAAAGUCUGAACAUGGAGCCAUGGCUGUAUGA